This 31-nucleotide non-coding RNA is filed under the name Rattus norvegicus (Norway rat). Lineage: Eukaryota; Metazoa; Chordata; Mammalia; Rodentia; Muridae. The record is from RNAcentral.
UGGAGUAGGGUCUGCUAUAGACUUCUCUGGU